AGAGUUUGAUCCUGGCUCAGAUUGAACGCUGGCGGCAUGCCUUACACAUGCAAGUCGAACGGCAGCACGGGAGCAAUCCUGGUGGCGAGUGGCGAACGGGUGAGUAAUAUAUCGGAACGUGCCCAGUCGUGGGGGAUAACGUAGCGAAAGCUACGCUAAUACCGCAUACGAUCUAUGGAUGAAAGCGGGGGAUCGCAAGACCUCGCGCGAUUGGAGCGGCCGAUAUCAGAUUAGCUAGUUGGUGGGGUAAAAGCCCACCAAGGCGACGAUCUGUAGCUGGUCUGAGAGGACGACCAGCCACACUGGAACUGAGACACGGUCCAGACUCCUACGGGAGGCAGCAGUGGGGAAUUUUGGACAAUGGGCGCAAGCCUGAUCCAGCAAUGCCGCGUGCAGGACGAAGGCCUUC
Molecule: ribosomal RNA, 409 nt
Filed under: uncultured bacterium
Lineage: Bacteria
Description: bacterial SSU rRNA
Rfam family: Bacterial small subunit ribosomal RNA
Source: RNAcentral